Molecule: long non-coding RNA, 537 nt
Organism: Limulus polyphemus (Atlantic horseshoe crab)
Lineage: Eukaryota; Metazoa; Arthropoda; Merostomata; Xiphosura; Limulidae
Exons: 3
Source: RefSeq, a predicted model, not a curated record
GUAGAUCAAAACGGUUAAAACUCAAACUGUAUAUAAACUGCAUGUGACGGACAUAGCAUCAAGAAAAUUUAGCAGCUGAGUAAGAAGAGUUUCCAUCAGGCAAAACAGAAUAUAAGAUGAAGAUUGCUAUGUUGCUAUGUUGUACUAUCCUUAUUGCGAAUAUUUCGGCAGAGCUUGCCACUACACCAGAUGGAAAAAUGGAUCUUAAUGCUGAACGGAAAUGCCCGAAUGAUCUGGAAUGGAAUGACUGCGGCCCGUGUCCAGCAGCCUGUGAGGACGCCCGAUGCGAUACUGAAAUGCCCUGCAUAUCUGGUUGCUUCUGUCCUAAGGGGAAGCUUAAAUACAAGAAUACAUGUAUAGACGCUGACGCUUGUCCUAUAUGAAGAUGACAAAGUUCCAUAAUAUUCAGUUAGACUUAUGAUGACAAACUGAUCUUCUAUUUUGUUUUGUUCACUUUAAUCACAAAUAGUAGUAACUAAUUAAGCUAUUUUAGCGUUUUAGAAAUUUGCCCUUGAAAUAAAUGCAUUAAGAAAUGAA